GACGAACGCUGGCGGCGUGCUUAACACAUGCAAGUCGAACGGAAAGGCCCUGCUUUUGUUGGUUGCUCGAGUGGCGAAAGGGGGAGUAACACGUGAGUAACCUGCCCUUUACUGUGGGAUAACUUAAGGGAACUGGGGCUAAUACCGGGUAGAAGCUCCUGCUGCAUGGUGGGGGUUGGAGAGAUUCGGCGGUUGGGGAUGGACUCGCGGCGUAUCCGCUUGUUGGGGGGGUGGUGGCUUACCAAGGCUUUGACGGGUAGCCUGCCUGAGAGGGUGACCGGAACCGUUGGGACUGAGCUAAGGCCCAGACCAGUAUGGGAGGCAGGAGAGGGGAAGAUUGUACAAUGGGCGGAAGCCUGCUGUAGCAACGCCGCGUGCGGGAUGACGGCAUUCUGGUUGGAAACCGAUUUCGCCUGUGACGAAGCGUUAGUGACGGUACCGGGUAAAGAAGCACCGGCUAACUACGUG
Molecule: ribosomal RNA, 468 nt
Filed under: uncultured bacterium
Lineage: Bacteria
Description: partial 16S ribosomal RNA
Rfam family: Bacterial small subunit ribosomal RNA
Source: RNAcentral